UCCCUACGGGACGCAGCAGUGGGGAAUAUUGCGCAAUGGGCGAAAGCCUGACGCAGCGACGCCGCGUGAGAGAUGAAGGUCUUCGGAUCGUAAACCUCUGUCAGCAGGGAAGAACGGUCACUGUGCUAAUCAGCAGUGAAUUGACGGUACCUGCAAAGGAAGCACCGGCUAACUCCGUGCCAGCAGCCGCGGUAAUACGGAGGGUGCGAGCGUUAAUCGGAAUUACUGGGCGUAAAGCGCUCGUAGGCGGUAUGUCAAGUCAAGGGGGAAGUCCCCGCGCUCAAAGUGGAAACUGCCUUUGAAAG
RNAcentral lists this ribosomal RNA (305 nucleotides) under uncultured bacterium. RNAcentral describes it as "bacterial SSU rRNA". It matches the Rfam family "Bacterial small subunit ribosomal RNA", at positions 337 to 633 of the family's 1533-position model. The record is from RNAcentral.